This is a long non-coding RNA of Eurytemora carolleeae, 262 nucleotides long. RefSeq lists it as uncharacterized. Lineage: Eukaryota; Metazoa; Arthropoda; Copepoda; Calanoida; Temoridae. The record is from RefSeq and is a predicted model, not a curated record. The transcript has 2 exons.
UGGCAGGAUCAUGACAGCGGUAGAUUUGAAGUUGACACAGGAUCCAUUAUCCAGGCAAGACAAGAUGUACGCAGAAUCUGAACACUGUCUUUACCUGAACAACAGAGAACUGCUGUACGCAGAAUCUGAACACUGUCUUUACAUGAACAACAUGAACUGCUGUACAAUAAAAUUUCCUUUCUGAACAAUUUAAGAUAAUUUAUUAAAAUCUGAUGUAUUCUUUAACCCAACAUUUGAAAAAAAAUAAUUUUUAUUGAAUAAA